Molecule: ribosomal RNA, 604 nt
Filed under: Ocotea foetens
Lineage: Eukaryota; Viridiplantae; Streptophyta; Magnoliopsida; Laurales; Lauraceae
Description: eukaryotic LSU rRNA
Rfam family: 5.8S ribosomal RNA (bases 211-366)
Source: RNAcentral
ACCACCACCGGCGAACCAGUCCCCGCGGAAAACGCCGCUCGCGGCGCGCGGCCCCGCGCGUCCCGGCGAGCUCCGAACAACCCUCUGGGCGCGGCGAGCGCCAAGGAAUCGAAGCGGAAAGGGCGGCCGCCUCGCCCGGCGCGGGCGCGCCCCGAAAGGGGACGCGGCACCGCGGCGGGGAUCCGCCGCCCGUCUGUGAAUCUCUUAGACGACUCUCGGCAACGGAUAUCUCGGCUCUCGCAUCGAUGAAGAACGUAGCGAAAUGCUAUACUUGGUGUGAAUUGCAGAAUCCCGUGAACCAUCGAGUCUUUGAACGCAAGUUGCGCCCGAGGCCACUCGGCCGAGGGCACGCCUGCCUGGGCGUCACGCCACCCAUCGCCCCCCCCGGGGAAUCCCAUGCCCCGCCGGGGAGCGGAGACUGGCCGUCCGUGCCCGAGCCCUCGGCGCGCGGUCGGCAGAAAAGGAGGGCACCGUGCGGCGCGACACGGCGUGUGGGGGUUGAGAGGCGAUCCGUCGCCGAUCGUACGUCGCGCCCGCAUUCCGCCGCCCGGUGCCGCCCGUGGGACCAGACUCCGCCCGCAGCCGCGGGCGCUCGGACCGCGAC